RNAcentral lists this unclassified non-coding RNA (250 nucleotides) under plant metagenome. Its description in RNAcentral is "partial contains small subunit ribosomal RNA, internal transcribed spacer 1, and 5.8S ribosomal RNA". The record is from RNAcentral.
GUAGGUGAACCUGCGGAAGGAUCAUUAACACGUAUCCACGUAUCAACUCCGUGCAUUUUAUGUGACAAACUCGUCGGCGAGCUUGUAGGACUUGGGAGAUCGCAGAAGUUGUGUGAGGCUGGAUGAUGGGUCUCCUCUGCUGAUCGCCUGACCAAGUUCCGAAGCGUUUGAGCCGUCAUCAUUAACUUUAACUAAAACCCCAUAUACCUUUACCUGUCUGAACUAUUUGUUCUUGAUCCCUCUUGUUAGG